CUCCUGCCCUGGCCUAGGGGUUGACCUGAAACACGCAUACACCCUGAACAAGGCUCUGGUUCGCUCAGCUAAUUACCAUGCAAGAUUACAACAGAAACCCUUCUCCUGUGGACCUUUGGAAUGGAAAGUUCUGUCCUUGAGGUUUCCCACGGUGAUCCUGUGAAUACCACGAGUGUAAUGAUUCUCAUUUCUGGAAACCAGCAGAUACCAUCUACUUUUCCCAGCAUUUAUGCUUCUGGGAGUUUACCUAAAGACACACGUAGGAAUGCACAAAGAUACAUGUGAAAGUUCACUGCGGCCUCUGUAAGAAUCUCCUCCCACCAAUGGAAAUUAUUUAAAUGUUCAUCAAGAGGAGUGAUAUUAAAUAAAUUUAAUGAGAUAUUUUAAGAGAAUUCUCUAUGGCUGUUGAAAACAAUAAAGUUCUGUAUUUAUAGACCUAUAAUAUACUUGUAAAUGUUUUGGGGUAAA
RNAcentral lists this long non-coding RNA (468 nucleotides) under Chinchilla lanigera (long-tailed chinchilla). RNAcentral's name for it is "lncRNA (ENSCLAG00000028000.1)". The record is from RNAcentral. Lineage: Eukaryota; Metazoa; Chordata; Mammalia; Rodentia; Chinchillidae.